GAUGAAGACGCAGUGAAAUGCGAUAAGUAAUGUGAAUUGCAGAAUUCAGUGAAUCAUCGAAUCUUUGAACGCACAUUGCGCCCGUCAGUAUUCUGGCGGGCAUGCCUGUUCGAGCGUCAUUACGCCCCUCAAGUCCCCUGUGGACUUGGUGUUGGGGAUCGGCGAGGCUGGUUUUCCAGCACAGCCGUCCCUUAAAUUAAUUGGCGGUCUCGCCGUGGCCCUCCUCUGCGCAGUAGUAAAACACUCGCAACAGGAGCCCGGCGCGGUCCACUGCCGUAAAACCCCCCAACUUUUUAUAGUUGACCUCGAAUCAGGUAGGACUACCCGCUGAACUUAAGCAUAUCAAUAAGCGGAGGA
Molecule: unclassified non-coding RNA, 357 nt
Filed under: soil metagenome
Description: partial contains 5.8S ribosomal RNA, internal transcribed spacer 2, and large subunit ribosomal RNA
Rfam family: 5.8S ribosomal RNA (bases 1-119)
Source: RNAcentral